Long non-coding RNA from Drosophila hydei, 631 nucleotides. RefSeq lists it as uncharacterized. The transcript has 9 exons. The record is from RefSeq and is a predicted model, not a curated record. NCBI's taxonomy places the organism in Eukaryota, Metazoa, Arthropoda, Insecta, Diptera, Drosophilidae.
CAUUUCUUUUCCUCAGCACAGCCGCUUGAAUAAAGUUGUCUUUUCAACUCUGCUCGAAUUAAAGCAUUUUAAAUGAUCGUGUGCAAGGGAAAUAACGUAGCACUGGCUGCUGCUUGGAAAAAUAAAACAAAAAAUUUCUCAAAUUUUACUGAAUUGCUAUGAACAACCUAUCGCACGUGUUGCUGCGAUAAGUUAGAAUGCAGUAUCCACGUGUUGAAUACUUGGAUGGUUUCCUAUAUUGCUCAUUAUGAUUUUGAGCUGGCGCACAGACUGAUCCUAAUCUAGAGUAUCUUCUAAGAUGUAUCAUUCAUAGGCUGGACUAUGCUAUAGAUCAGCAAGAAGAAUAAUAAUCGACUCAAGGUCAAACUGAACGAAGAGAAUAAAUUUCAAUUGCAGCAAUGCAGCAUAAAGGCUUCAUAGAGUUUCCUUAAUCUACGAUAAGACGAUUCCUGAGUCUGAAUAAACAAUUAAUUCAAAAGUGAACGUCCGUCUUCAAGCUGGAAUUUUGGAAUGUUACUAAACCUUCUCUAAUAUACCAAAUAAAUGUACACCUGUGGAUUACCUUGAAUGAAAUUCUAAAAUAUUGUACAAACCAAAACUUGAAUAAAACUACAUGAAAUGUAUUUAUUAU